Molecule: ribosomal RNA, 543 nt
Filed under: uncultured bacterium
Lineage: Bacteria
Description: bacterial SSU rRNA
Rfam family: Bacterial small subunit ribosomal RNA
Source: RNAcentral
GAGUUUGAUCAUGGCUCAGAUUGAACGCUGGCGGCAUGCUUUACACAUGCAAGUCGAACGGUAACAGGGAGCUUGCUCCGCUGACGAGUGGCGAACGGGUGAGUAAUGCGUCGGAACGUGCCGAGUAGUGGGGGAUAACGCAUCGAAAGGUGUGCUAAUACCGCAUACGAACUGAGGUUGAAAGUGGGGGACCUUCGGGCCUCACGCUAUUCGAGCGGCCGACGUCUGAUUAGCUAGUAGGUGAGGUAAAGGCUCACCUAGGCGACGAUCAGUAGCGGGUCUGAGAGGAUGAUCCGCCACACUGGGACUGAGACACGGCCCAGACUCCUACGGGAGGCAGCAGUGGGGAAUUUUGGACAAUGGGCGCAAGCCUGAUCCAGCCAUGCCGCGUGUCUGAAGAAGGGCUUCGGGUUGUAAAGGACUUUUGUCUGGGAGCAAAUACCCGGUGUUAAUAGCGCCGGGGGCUGAGAGUACCAGAAGAAUAAGCACCGGCUAACUACGUGCCAGCAGCCGCGGUAAUACGUAGGGUGCAAGCGUUAAUCG